AUUGAACGCUGGCGGCGGGCCUAACACAUGCAAGUCGAACGGUAACAGGAAGCAGCUUGCUGCUUCGCUGACGAGUGGCGGACGGGUGAGUAAUGUCUGGGAAACUGCCUGAUGGAGGGGGAUAACUACUGGAAACGGUAGCUACUACCGCAUAACGUCGCAAGACCAAAGAGGGGGACCUUAGGGCCUCUUGCCAUCGGAUGUGCCCCGAUGGGAUUAGCUAGUCGGUGGGGUAACGGCUCACCUAGGCGACGAUCCCGAGCUGGUCUGAGGGGAGGACCACCCACACUGGAACUGAGACACGGUCCAGACUCCUACGGGAGGCAGCAGUGGGGAAUAUUGCACAAAGGGCGCAAGCAUGAUGCAGCCAUGCCGCGUGUAUGAAGAAGGCCUUCGGGUUGUAAAGUACUUUCAGCGGGGAGGAAGGGAGUAAAGUUAAUACCUUUGCUCAUUGACGUUACCCGCAGAAGAAGCACCGGCUAACUCCGUG
RNAcentral lists this ribosomal RNA (490 nucleotides) under uncultured bacterium. Its description in RNAcentral is "partial 16S ribosomal RNA". It matches the Rfam family "Bacterial small subunit ribosomal RNA", at positions 30 to 507 of the family's 1533-position model. The record is from RNAcentral.